AGUUUUGAGCGUCAAUCAUUCAUACAAAUGACUGACACUCAUACUCUCCUCAUACAGAAUGUAAUACAGUAUUAUUAAACUGAAUCAGCAACACUGGCCAUGACUUAGAGAUACGCUAUUAUAACUGUUCUGCUGUAUAUUUCUUACCUGUUAACUGUUGCAGUUGUGGCCGUAUGCAGGGGCCAAAAAGUCGCCGUCCACACGCCAUUUGGUGAAAGCGAUGGAUUUCCUGUAAAUCAAGUGUGAUACCAGCAAAAUGUUAUUUGACUUGUUUAGAACGGCUACCUGUUUUGGCAAAAUUAGCAAAAUAUCUCAUAAUCCUCUUAGACAAGUCAACCUCUUGUGCCGUGUAAGACUUAGCGGGAUUCAAGGGCUCUCCGAAGACAUAAUUGAUUUCUUCCCCGUGCAUUACACCAGUCCACGAGGGCCAUGGGUUAGACACCUGAAAAUAAUAUAAAAUACCUUUAAAUUGAAUCAUGUGAAUGGUAUUUAGAAAAAUAUAAAUAUAUUAUACAGGGUGUUUAAGUAUAAAAUAUUUGAUAAAUAUUGGGGUUUACGAAAAUUCUGAAACAUGGAGGCCUGGAGAACAUGAACUGGAGUUCAUACACUUCUUUUUAUACUUCCAUGGUCAGGACUAUUGCUGUCGUAGUUUUACAGUACAAUGAAUCUGAUGGGGCAGGAAAUAUAUACUCACUGACAUAAGAAGUGUUAUACCCAGAAAGAAUGAUUUCUUUACCUAUGACUAUAUUUAAACCAUGCUAUGAUAAGAACAACAAUUUUUUAUCUUUGUUUUUUUUACCAAUGUUAAAAUUUUAUUUCUUAGUUUUUGUGACGAAAGCUUUUUUCUGAAAGGUAAUUAGUACAUGUAUUUUUAAUGUUAAGCAUAACAAAAUGCCUCGAAUCCGAAGACCUUAAAAUUAUCACCAUGUUAGCAAUUUUGAUAGGGGUAGAAUUACUGCCUAUAGCGAGACGUUGGUUUUUCCUAUCACGAAAUUGGCCCCCGUGGUAAUGGUACUGCAAUGACGACAAUGCGUGUGUCUCGCAUAUGCAUAGAGGAAAAAAGAGGAACGCGAACUUAGAACAUUAAAUACACAUUAGGCAUUCAAUAUUCUAAGAACAUGAAGAAGAUCAACUGUGCAACCGAAGCGUACCAGAGAGUAGUCAAGAUACUUUAUACGUUACUGUUUUGCGGUGGCUAUCCCGUUCACUAGAAUUAAAUCCCAGCUAACAUGUGUGGGAAGGAGACUAAUCACUUGGCACCAUCCGCCACACACUCUGGCACGGCUAAUUCACAAAGUUCGAGUUGCUUGGUCCUAUAGUGUAUUCAACUGCGGGGUCGCCAAUUACAUUAUUCAUUUUUUCUUAUUAUUUGUCUUGCAAAUGUUAUUGUUUCAUUCUUGCUGUAAAGGCGGCCCUACACUGAGGCAACUAAUGGCAAUUAGGCCGCAUGCGGCGCGAUCGCAUGCUGCAAGCUGCCAGAAGUCGAAGAAGUUUAAGAUAUGGGAAGAAUUGUCAAAAAAAUAUGAAUGUUCUAUAAAGGAUCUAAAGGACAAAAUAAAAAAUCUGCGUACGACUUUUCAUCGAAAAAGAAAAAAGAAGUCCGGGUCAGGCAGAACCGAACCAUGGGUGUACUUUGAAUCAUUGACUUUCCUUUUGGAGGUAGAUGUACCAAAACAAAGUGUGUCAACUGAGGAAAAUUUUGAUGAGACGAGGAUGAAACUGAUCAAGAAAGCGACAGGUCUGUAUCUCCAGGACCCAGCACACGACGCAACCCAGACCAGCACAAGCAGCCUGCAGUAGAAAAUUCCGCUUCCAAAAAUUAAAAACGCAGGUAUCAGAGCGAACAUUAAGAAGCUGAUUAAGAAAGCGAAUUAGAGCCAAACAGACCUGAAUCUGAAGUAUCUGUAGGAACCAGCACACAACGCAACCCAGAUCAGCACAAGCAACGUGCAGAAAAACAGUCCGCUCCCAAGAAUAAAAAACGAAGGUAUCAGAGUGAACGUCAAGAAGAAGCUGACCGAAGAGCAGAUGAGGCUUAUAAAAUACUGCAAACAGCAGAUGAAUUUUAUAUACGGUCUGGUCUCACAUGUGGGCAAUGAGUUGCGUAAACUGACCUCAACCUCGUACCAAAUUGCGAAAAAUUACAUAAAUCAAAUUUU
RNAcentral lists this long non-coding RNA (2159 nucleotides) under Anthonomus grandis grandis. Its description in RNAcentral is "uncharacterized LOC126740009". The record is from RNAcentral. Lineage: Eukaryota; Metazoa; Arthropoda; Insecta; Coleoptera; Curculionidae.